ACGGCUUAAAAGAGGCGCGACAUUUGUUUUGUAACUCAACUUCUCAUGUUAUUGCAGAAGUGGCACGCCUGAAGUCAAACAGGAAAGAAUAGCAGGAAUCUACUUUAUGGAGAUCCUAAGAGGCUUACACUAUAGGGGAGUGCAAGCCUGAAUCCAGCAUUCUCUGUUGAUUCUUUCAGAAGCAGUUUUUUCCUGCCACAUCGUUGAAUGCUGAUUUUCGUUGCUACACCAGUCAAUGGAGACAUGACUUCUGUCCAGAUUACCAAAGCCUCGGAUGGCUCAAGCAGAACGUCCCUAGAGUCUUAAUCAUGGCUUUAACUGCAACAUAAGCUGUCGAUUUUGGUAAGGUGACAUUCACACAUCCGAAGGUUCUGCUACAAUUGAUUAGACGAAAUCAAGACUUAUUUCUUUCUCAAAAGAUGGUGAGCUUCUGACCGCCUCUAGGCAGAGGCUGGACUUGGCGUGCAAGAUGAUCCCAAACACCUCGCUCAUGUCCAGUGUCUCCGGGCCUGCCCCGGCCGGAAUCGCCC
Molecule: non-coding RNA, 530 nt
Organism: Lolium perenne
Lineage: Eukaryota; Viridiplantae; Streptophyta; Magnoliopsida; Poales; Poaceae
Source: RefSeq, a predicted model, not a curated record